RNAcentral lists this ribosomal RNA (303 nucleotides) under uncultured bacterium. RNAcentral describes it as "bacterial SSU rRNA". It matches the Rfam family "Bacterial small subunit ribosomal RNA", at positions 32 to 313 of the family's 1533-position model. The record is from RNAcentral.
AAUCAACGCUGGCGGCGUGCCUCAGACAUGCAAGUCGAACGCUGCUGUUCGCCUUCGGGUGGACAGCGGAGUGGCGCACGGGUGAGUAACACGUAGGUAAUCUACCUUUGGGUGGGAAUAACAGCCGGAAACGGCUGCUAAUACCGCAUAAUGCAGCGGCAUCACAUGAUGACAGUUGUUAAAGCGAGGGAUCGUAAGACCUCGCGCCUGAAGAGGAGCCUGCGGCAGAUUAGGUAGUUGGUGAGGUAAUGGCUCACCAAGCCUGCGAUCUGUAACCGGCCUGAGAGGGGCGGUCGGUCACAC